RNAcentral lists this ribosomal RNA (365 nucleotides) under uncultured Lactobacillus sp. Its description in RNAcentral is "bacterial SSU rRNA". It matches the Rfam family "Bacterial small subunit ribosomal RNA", at positions 173 to 529 of the family's 1533-position model. Lineage: Bacteria; Bacillati; Bacillota; Bacilli; Lactobacillales; Lactobacillaceae. The record is from RNAcentral.
GUACNCCUGNCCAUGUCUAUNGUUUGAAAGAUGGUUCUGCUAUCCUCUUGGAUGGACCUGCGGUGCAUUAACUAGUUGGUAAGGUAACGGCUUACCAAGGCAAUGAUGCNUANCCGANUUGAGAGACUGAUCGGCCACAUUGGGACUGANACACGGCCCAAACUCCUACGGGGAGGCAGCAGUAGGGAAUCUUCCACAAUGGACGAAAGUCUGAUGGAGCAACGCCGCGUGAGUGAAGAAGGGUUUCGGCUCGUAAAGCUCUGUUGGUAGUGAAGAAAGAUAGAGGUAGUAACUGGCCUUUAUUUGACGGUAAUUACUUAGAAAGUCACGGCUAACUACGUGCCAGCAGCCGCGGUAAUACCAUA